UUUUAUAUUUUUCAUUAAAAUUAUUUUUUAUAAAAAGUUUGAUUUUGGCUUAUAAAAUUGUGUUAUAUUUUUUUUACAUGUAAAUUUUUGUAUGAAAAUUUUUAAGUUUUUAAAAGAUUUAUUAAUUGUUGUUUAUUUAUUUUAUAAUUGCAGUAUUUAGAUUUAAUAAUUAAGGAAAUUUAGAAUUAUAAUUUAUAAUUAAUAUAAGUAAAAAAUGUGCCAGCAACUGCGGUUACACAUUUUAUAUAAGUAAUUUUUAUUUAUUUAUUAUAUAUUAUAUUAUUUUAAAUUUAUUGAUUUUUAUAUUACUAUAAGUUAGGUGAAAUUAUUUAUUUUAUUAGAUUAUUUAAAAAGUUUUUAUUAUAUAUAAUUAUUUUAUCUUAAUAAUAAACUAGGAUUAGAUACCCUAUUAUUUAUGAUUUAAAUUUAUUGUAGAGGAUUAAUAGGUAUGUUCUUUAAACUUAAAAAAAUUGGCGGUAUUUAAAUCUAAUUAGGGGAACUUGUCUUUUAAAUGAUAAUCCUCAAGUUACCUUACUUUAAUUAAAAAUUUAUUUAUUGCCGUUAUCAGAUUAUUUUAUUAGAAAUUAAAUUUUCUAAAAUAUUAAUAAAAUAUUUAUUUCAGGUCAUUAUGUAGUUUAUAUUAAAGUUAAGAUGAGUUACAAUAAAUUUAUAUUUAAACGGAUAUUAAUUUUAAAUAGUUAAUUAAAGGUGGACUUAAUAGUAAACAAAAAUUAAGAUUUUUUGUUGAAUUUAGAAUUAAAUAUGCACAUAUCGCCCGUCACUCUCGUUUUUAAGAUGAGAUAAGUCGUAACAAAGUAGAUGUAUUGGAAAAUGUAUCUAGAAAGUUAAAGUUAUUAAU
RNAcentral lists this non-coding RNA (859 nucleotides) under Fenusa (Kaliofenusa) sp. 1 GYN-2022b. The record is from RNAcentral. Lineage: Eukaryota; Metazoa; Arthropoda; Insecta; Hymenoptera; Tenthredinidae.